This 244-nucleotide long non-coding RNA is filed under the name Elaeis guineensis (African oil palm). RNAcentral's name for it is "long non-coding RNA (EGUI_LNC026138)". Lineage: Eukaryota; Viridiplantae; Streptophyta; Magnoliopsida; Arecales; Arecaceae. The record is from RNAcentral.
UAUUAAAAGAUUACAAGGGGAAUAGUUUUUCAUUUUAGAAUGUAAAAAGAUUAUAAGGGGAACAUGUUUUUCAUUUCAAAAUAUAAAUGAAAGACAAUGAACUAAUUUCCAUUGCUCCUCCUAAUAGGCUUAGUCCUAUACUUCAUUUUGGAAUGUAAUUAAAAGACAAGAAUUUGAUACAUUCUCAUGAUAACUAAUUUUAAGAAACCUCCCCAUUAGACCUAUAUGCUAGGCUCAUCACAAU